RNAcentral lists this transfer RNA (71 nucleotides) under Marmota monax (woodchuck). It matches the Rfam family "tRNA". From Rfam's summary of the family: Transfer RNA (tRNA) molecules are approximately 80 nucleotides in length. Their secondary structure includes four short double-helical elements and three loops (D, anti-codon, and T loops). Further hydrogen bonds mediate the characteristic L-shaped molecular structure. tRNAs have two regions of fundamental functional importance: the anti-codon, which is responsible for specific mRNA codon recognition, and the 3' end, to which the tRNAs corresponding amino acid is attached (by aminoacyl-tRNA synthetases). tRNAs cope with the degeneracy of the genetic code in two manners: having more than one tRNA (with a specific anti-codon) for a particular amino acid; and 'wobble' base-pairing, i.e. permitting non-standard base-pairing at the 3rd anti-codon position. Lineage: Eukaryota; Metazoa; Chordata; Mammalia; Rodentia; Sciuridae. The record is from Rfam by way of RNAcentral.
GUGGUUGUAGCUCAGUGGUAGAGCACUUGCCUGGCAUGUGUGAGGCAUUGGGUUCAAUUCCUAGCACCACA